Molecule: long non-coding RNA, 2152 nt
Organism: Bolinopsis microptera
Lineage: Eukaryota; Metazoa; Ctenophora; Tentaculata; Lobata; Bolinopsidae
Exons: 4
Source: RefSeq, a predicted model, not a curated record
AGGUGGAGGACGUCCGAUUGUGCUACCCGUGGGCACAACUCGUGUAAUCCGGUAACAAUGGAGAUCGUCUUUGACUUCUGUUGGCAAACACUCCACAUAUAGGUAAGUUCAGGUAAGUUCAGGUAAGUAUGACCUAAUUCCUAUAUUUCAAUGACUUCUGCAGUGGACUAUAUACAAUACUGAUGCUCGUAACAGCCACAAAUGUUACUGGAUACUAUCACCUAAUGUCAAUAUCUAAAGAUAAAUACUGAUAUGAUCAUAUUCUUUACUUUCCUCUAACAUUCUUAUUCACAUUAUAUUAUAACAACUUCAGUCCAACAUUCCAAUCUAGGUUAGUUUAUCUCCACAUACUUCGAUAUAUUUUAAAACUUACUCACUAAUAUACAAUAAUGAGAUAUACCCAGUUCAGCUAGUGUGUUCUGCACUUCCACAACAUUUUCCAACGUUUGCUCCUCUAAACAAGUACGCUGUCCUCUAUCAUUGGACGUUUACUUCGUUGCCCAGGAUUGAAUCAACAUUCUGCAGAGUAUGUAAAGCACAUCUUCCAACGUCGGAACACAACUUCCCAUCAAAACAACCAACUAUGUCAGCAUUUUCAGCCACUCCAACAACGCCGGUACCAUUUAGGACGCACUCUUAUACUCAGCUCAGUACACAAUCAUCAUAGGCAAUAUCUACCACUUAUCGACAGUAUCAAACACACUCCACAGUCCACACAUAUCGGCAUGUAGUUCAUAUCAACAAAUGCUAUGUCCGGGAAUUUCAUUAAUGUUAAGGCACCACAACAAAGUCGGAUACAACAGCAACUAACAAUAACAAAUCGAAUGACUACAAAUCAAUAGAAAGUUAUAAAUUUUCAUGUUUUUUAACAACAUCACCAGCUGGUAACACUCAUACUACUUCAUAACAACAUCAGAAAAUGGACGAUCAGGACAGCUCACACACUCACUUUUCAAUUAUAUAAGGUCACCAUCACAAACACUCCAAAACACUGUGCAAUGAUAUUGCACCCACCUUACCUUCAACUGCAGUUUAAUGAUUUUUCUAACCAGUCCCGCCAUUAACUUUAAUAAUUAUUUACAAUAAUAUGUUAGAAUAUAUUUGUUAAUUAUGGCGAUUUCUGGCAUGUACAUACAGUUGGUCAUGAAAGCCUCAAUUUUCUCUCCGCAUAAUGACCAUAAUAGUUAUCUUUAAUACAUGUAGACAUAUAAAUGUUGCUACAAAUAUCCACACGAGUAACGGUAUAUAUCUUAUUAGCUAUAUUAUGUUCCUGGUUUACUUACCUUUGCAAUUGAACAAAAUUGCAAUAUCCUACACCUAACUUUUGUUUAAGCUACAUUAUUUAUGAUGAACUGCUUUCAUUGGUGCCUGCGUGAUUUUCUAAUCUAACUUUUCUGCUGGUGACCUAUAUAAUAGUUGAUACAAUUAUGAUGACUGUCAAAUAUUCAGUGUUUAUGAACACUAGCAAAAACACCACUUCAUCACUUGUCAGUGAUUUUCAACUCUAUCAAUCACCAAUUCAUCAUUUUCCAGUACUGCAGUAUUUUCAACACUACAUCAUUUAUCAGUGUUUUUAAACACUAAAAACCAACCCUACAUCAUUUAUCAGUGUUUCUCAACACUGGACCAAACAGACCAAGACUGCUACCAAUCAGUGAAGCAACCACAAUAUUCAGAUAACUCUAUCGAUGUCCUAAUCUGAACACAUAUACAUGAAGCCAACCAACAACUCCUCAUUCGUUAAACGCAGUCAUCAUUCUUGUAUCAAUAAUAUUAACCUGCGUCAAGAAACGGUAUCGUUGCCUAUAAAACUUCGACUCAACUUAGUCUUACAAGAUUGACUAAUCUCCACUGAAACAGUUCCUCAUAUUAAAGACUAAGCUUUACAAAAAGUACAAACUGAUACUCCGUAUUAAUUGUACACCGCCCAGUUCAAAGUAUCUAACCAGAUGUGAGGAUAUUUAUAAUAACAUACAUUCAACGGAAUGUUCGCGUAAAACAAGUACGGAUUUGGCAUAUUUUACCCCAUUGAGGCUCACAUGACCAACCUUAAUAUAUGAUAUUAUUUGAUGUAAAAUAAAGAAACAUUAUUCACUAAUAGAGUUCUCCUCGUUGCACUAACUUUAAUAUUAUGAUACAUACAAAAAUUGUC